Long non-coding RNA from Cyprinus carpio carpio, 4100 nucleotides. The record is from Ensembl. Lineage: Eukaryota; Metazoa; Chordata; Actinopteri; Cypriniformes; Cyprinidae.
CAAGCUUUUACAGCUGAGUCAUUGGGAUUAGCUGAGCAUACAUAUCCAGUAGAUGAGUUACAACGCAAGUAUAGCCACCUACAAGGUCUACAGUUGCCACCUGUUGAAUCCGUCCAACCACUCCUCCUUAUAGGGUCAGAUUACCCUCACCUCAUUACCCCAGUAGAGCCAGUUCGUCUAAGCCCACCUAACGGUCCUGCCGCUAUCAAGACCAGAUUAGGCUGGACCCUGCAAGGUCCCACUCAAGAGAUCAAGCAUUGCCUUUCCAGCCAGCAGUGUCUCUUUACUGCUACUUCAAGCUCAUAUACCAACCUGUACAGACAAGUUGAGAAAUUGUGGCAACUAGACGUGCUCCCGUACCGCAGUGAGAAACUCAUUACUCGCUCUAAGCAAGAUCAAGAUGCCCUUGCACUGCUCGAGUCCAAGACUACUAGAGUUACAGUAGAUGGAGUAGCCAGAUAUGCCACACCCUUAUUAAGAGUGAAAGAUAUGCCUCUCCUGCGAGCUUCCCCAGAUACCACUCUGCCUUGUCUCAGAGGAAUUGAGAGGCGAUUAGUCAGAGAUCCAGCACAAGCAGCAGCCUACCAGGUGGAGAUGAACAAGUUGAAGGAGGCAGGAUAUGCACAAGUCAUACAUGCCGAACAAGUGGAGCAAGCUAAGGAGUCGUGGUAUAUUCCCCACCAUAUGACACAACAUAACGGCAAGAACAGAGUCGUUUUCAACUGUUCAUUUCAACAUGGAGGGAAAAAUCUCAACCAGUUGCUUCUUCCUGGUCCCACACUGGGUCCUUCUCUGAUGUCUGUCCUCCUGAGGUUCCGUGAACACACCGUUGCCUUGAGUAGUGAUAUUCGAGGCAUGUUCCAUCAGGUGCGACUGCUACCAGAAGACCGCCCACUGCUAAGAUUCCUCUGGAGGGACCUCAACAGAGAUCAGUCCCCCCAAGUUUACGAGUGGCAAGUUCUUCUGUUUGGGACAACAUGCAGCCCUUGCUGCGCGACUUUUGCCCUCCAAAAGCAUGUCAUCGACCAUAGUCAGCCAGGCGAAGAUGUCCGAGAAAGUAUACAGAAGUACUUCUAUGUAGACAACUUCCUCCAGAGUUUCCAUACCCAAGAAGAAGCCAGGGCACGGGCAUCUAAGUUGCGAGACCUCCUAGCCACAGGAGGAUUUGAUCUAAGACAGUGGGCCAGCAAUGCCCCUCAAGUACUGGACUCUAUCCCAUCUGAAGCCAAGUCAAGUAAACUGGUAUUGUGGCUGACCCAAGAGCAACCAGAAGCACAAGAGUCCGCACUUGGACUACUCUGGCACUGUACCUCCGACACACUGUCAUACAAGUAUCGCCCCAUUGAAGGCUCUGCCCCUACUAUGCAUCAUAUUUACAAGGUUCUGGCUAGUCAGUAUGAUCCAAUAGGGUACAUCGUCCCUUACACCACGAGAGCUAAAGUCCUAGUCCAGCAUCUGUGGGACAAGAAGAGGGAAUGGGAUGACCCUCAACUUCCAGACAAACUGCUCCAAGCCUGGCGAACAUGGGAGCAAGAGUUACCAAACAUUAAGCACAUCUCAAUUCCCAGAUGUUACGUUACUUUAAAGUUGGAUAACCCCCAGAGUAUCAGAACCCUACACAUUUUCUGUGACGCUUCAGAGCGAGCUUAUGGCUCAGUAGCCUACAUCCAUACACUCAGUCCUCAAGGAGACAUGGAGAUAGCUUUCUUGACUGCCUGUUCCAGAGUUUCUCCAAAGAAACAACAGUCCAUACCUCGUCUUGAGUUGUGUGCCGCUAUGACAGGAGCACAACUAGCCAAAUUACUGAAGACCGAGCUCAGUGUUCCCAUACGUCAGGUCACAUUCUGGUCAGAUUCCACCACUGUGCUGGCAUGGAUUCAAGCUGAUUCGUGUCGAUAUAAAGUCUUUGUUGGAACGAGAAUAGCAGAGAUACAGGAGCUAACAGACCCCAAGGAUUGGCGUUAUGUUGAUUCCAAGUCUAAUCCUGCUGAUGACAUCACUAGGGGCAAGACCUUGCCCGAGUUAGCCAAGACAAGCCAAUGGAGUCCAGGCCCAUCAUUCCUUCUCCUGCCUGCAGAUCAGUGGCCUCAGAGUCCUCUCCUACAGCUACCUACUGAGGAUGCAGAGCUGAAACAGGUCACAUUCUGUGGACUUACAGUUCCUGUCCCCCACCCAGCAUUGCCUGAUUGCAAUCAGUUUGGAUCUUAUAAGGAACUACUAGCAGCUACAGCUAGAGCCUUGCAUGGGGCGGCUACCCCUACAGAAGUGCUAACAGCUGAGAAUUAUAGAGAAGCCGAACUAGCCCUCCUUCAUCAAGCACAAAUCCAUAGUUUCCCAGUUGAGAUGGAUCAUCUUAAGUCAGGAAAACCUCUACCGAUAAACAGUCGUCUCUUGUGUCUUGCCCCAGAGUAUGACAGCAGUACCCACCUCAUCAGAGUUGGUGGUCGUCUCAGACGAACAGAGCAGCUAGACGAAUCCGCCAUACACCCUAUAGUCCUCGAGCCUAAGCAUCACCUAAGCAGACUCAUCAUCCAGGACUUCGAUGAAAUUCUACACCAUCCGGGAGCAGAGAGGGUGUUUGCUGAAAUACGUCGUAAGUACUGGAUACUGAGAGGCCGAGAAGCUAUUCGGCAUCACCAGAGAACGUGCUUAGGCUGUAAACAGUGGAGAGGCCAGCCCAGCAUUCCCAGGAUGGCCGACUUGCCUCUUUCAAGAUUGCGCUUACAUCAACCAGCCUUCUACUCCACUGGAGUGGAUUGUUUUGGCCCUUACCUCAUCAAGAUUGGGCGCAGACAUGAGAAACGAUGGGGUAUCAUAUUUAAGUGUCUGACAACGAGAGCUGUAUACCUGGACCUGCUCUAUCAGAUGGACACAGAUUCAUUCUUAAUGGCCCUCCGAAGAUUCAUCUCCCGCAGGGGCAAGCCAUUUGAGAUCAUCUCUGACCAAGGUACAAACUUCAGAGGUGGUGAGAGAACACUACAAGAAGAUUUUGCUGUGCUCCAUCCUUCCCUCCAUGAAAAAUUAGCCAGCCACCAGAUUAGUUUUAAGUUCAACCCCCCAGGAGCUUCACACUUUGGAGGCUGUUGGGAAAGAGAAAUAAGAUCCCUGAAAUCAGCUCUUUGUUCUACUAUAGGGGAUCAAAUUGUGACCGAGGAAGUACUGCGUACUGUGCUUGUUGAGAUUGAAGGCAUUCUCAAUUCAAAGCCAAUCGGAUAUACGUCCUCAGACAUAGCUGACCUUGACCCAAUCACUCCCAACAUGUUGCUCAUGGGGCGGCCUGACUCAUCCUUGCCACAAGCAGUAUAUCCUGAAUCAGAGUUGCUAAGCAAACGGAGAUGGAGACACAGUCAGCUUCUGGCAGACCAAUUCUGGAGACGUUUCCUCCGUAACUAUCUCCCAGACCUGCAAGUCCGACAGAAGUGGCACAGAGAGGCAGAAAAUCUACAGCCAGGCACAGUUGUCAUGAUUGUUGAUCAUCAAUUACCCCGAGCUCUAUAGCCAGUUGGACAAGUAACAAAAGUGUUUCCUGGAGAAGAUAGGCGAACUCGGACUGCAGAAGUGGAAGUCAAGAAUAAGACCUAUCUUCUUACCAUCACCCGGCUCAUCAGCCUCACAGCUUUACCAGAUUGAGUACUCUGUAGUACUAUCCCUUACCUUCGUGCCUUAUCUAAAUUACACAUUUCCACAGCAAAUGUGGGGGCGGCUGUAGAAAAGACCGGCUAUGUACAGAGCCAUUAGUGCCCCCUUGUGACUUUAAGAGCUAUUGUGUUGAUGACUUUUGGCAUUUCCCUUUAACGAUCCCUUUAACAGUAUUAACAAGACGCAGUUCAGACAUUCUUCGCUGUUGUUCAUGCCGUUGUUGUUUUCUACUGAGUGCGUUCAUAUACAAAACCACUCAUAUUAAGCUACAUUCCAAACUACUCUGUACAACUCUGGCAUACUCUCUGCUGCCUGUACUACAAUCGUUCACUCAACCAAAUUCAAGAACUGUAAAUCCUCUACAAGUCUGAAACCAUUAAAGUGUACUUCGUCUCUGACCCGGACGACUUAUGUCUGCUCAAUUUCCACCAGCACCCACAAUAGUCUACCUCACAUACAGU